This 490-nucleotide ribosomal RNA is filed under the name uncultured bacterium. RNAcentral's name for it is "partial 16S ribosomal RNA". It matches the Rfam family "Bacterial small subunit ribosomal RNA", at positions 30 to 507 of the family's 1533-position model. The record is from RNAcentral.
AUUGAACGCUGGCGGCAUGCCUUACACAUGCAAGUCGAACGGCAGCAUGAUCUAGCUUGCUAGAUUGAUGGCGAGUGGCGAACGGGUGAGUAAUACAUCGGAACGUGCCCUGUAGUGGGGGAUAACUAGUCGAAGGAUUAGCUAAUACCGCAUACGACCUGAGGGUGAAAGUGGGGGACCGCAAGGCCUCAUGCUAUAGGAGCGGCCGAUGUCUGAUUAGCUAGUUGGUGAGGUAAAGGCUCACCAAGGCGACGAUCAGUAGCUGGUCUGAGAGGACGAUCAGCCACACUGGGACUGAGACACGGCCCAGACUCCUACGGGAGGCAGCAGUGGGGAAUUUUGGACAAUGGGCGAAAGCCUGAUCCAGCAAUGCCGCGUGUGUGAAGAAGGCCUUCGGGUUGUAAAGCACUUUUGUCCGGAAAGAAAUGGCUCUGGUUAAUACCUGGGGUCGAUGACGGUACCGGAAGAAUAAGGACCGGUUAACUACGUG